RNAcentral lists this ribosomal RNA (274 nucleotides) under uncultured bacterium. RNAcentral's name for it is "partial 16S ribosomal RNA". It matches the Rfam family "Bacterial small subunit ribosomal RNA", at positions 523 to 796 of the family's 1533-position model. The record is from RNAcentral.
AUACGGAGGGGGCUAGCGUUGUUCGGAAUUACUGGGCGUAAAGCGUACGUAGGCGGACUGAUCAGUUGGGGGUGAAAUCCCAGGGCUUAACCCUGGAACUGCCUUCAAUACUGUCAGUCUUGAGAUUGGAAGAGGUGAGUGGAAUUCCUAGUGUAGAGGUGAAAUUCAUAGAUAUUAGGAGGAACACCAGUGGCGAAGGCGGCUCACUGGUCCAAUACUGACGCUGAGGUACGAAAGCGUGGGGAGCAAACAGGAUUAGAAACCCGAGUAGUCC